GGAGAGGUGUCCGAGUUGGCCCGAAGGAGCACGAUUGGAAAUCGUGUAGGCGCCAAAAAGCGUCUCGAGGGUUCGAAUCCCUCUCUCCUGCGCCA
Molecule: transfer RNA, 95 nt
Filed under: Paenibacillus larvae
Lineage: Bacteria; Bacillati; Bacillota; Bacilli; Caryophanales; Paenibacillaceae
Description: tRNA-Ser
Rfam family: tRNA
About the family: Transfer RNA (tRNA) molecules are approximately 80 nucleotides in length. Their secondary structure includes four short double-helical elements and three loops (D, anti-codon, and T loops). Further hydrogen bonds mediate the characteristic L-shaped molecular structure. tRNAs have two regions of fundamental functional importance: the anti-codon, which is responsible for specific mRNA codon recognition, and the 3' end, to which the tRNAs corresponding amino acid is attached (by aminoacyl-tRNA synthetases). tRNAs cope with the degeneracy of the genetic code in two manners: having more than one tRNA (with a specific anti-codon) for a particular amino acid; and 'wobble' base-pairing, i.e. permitting non-standard base-pairing at the 3rd anti-codon position.
Source: RNAcentral